AGGCGCGAAAACUUUACAAUGCGGGAAACCGCGAUAAGGGAACCCCGAGUGCCAGCAUCAAAUGUUGGCUGUCCAGAUGAUUAAAAAUCAUUUGUUAGCAAGGGCCGGGCAAGACCGGUGCCAGCCGCCGCGGUAACACCGGCGGCCCGAGUGGUAGCCGUUUUUAUUGGGUCUAAAGGGUCCGUAGCCGGCUUGAUAAGUCUUUUGGGAAAUCUGGCAGCUUAACUGUCAGGCUUCUAAGGGAUACUGUCAGGCUUGGGACCGGAAGAGGUAAGGGGUACUCCAGGGGUAGGAGUGAAAUCUUGUAAUCCCUGGGGGACCAUCUGUGGCGAAGGCGCCUUACCAGAACGGGUCCGACGGUGAGGGACGAAAGCUAGGGGAGCAAACCGGAUUAGAUACCCGGGUAGUCCUAGCUGUAAACGAUGCUCGCUAGGUGUCAGACACGGUGCGACCGUGUUUGGUGCCGCAGGGAAGCCGUUAAGCGAGCCACCUGGGAAGUACGGUCGCAAGGCUGAAACUUAAAGGAAUUGGCGGGGGAGCACUACAACGGGUGGAGCCUGCGGUUUAAUUGGAUUCAACGCCGGAAAACUCACCGGGUGCGACAGCAAUAUGUAGGUCAGGCUGAAGGUCUUACCUGAAUCGCUGAGAGGAGGUGCAUGGCCGUCGUCAGUUCGUACUGUGAAGCAU
Molecule: ribosomal RNA, 687 nt
Filed under: uncultured archaeon
Lineage: Archaea
Description: bacterial SSU rRNA
Rfam family: Archaeal small subunit ribosomal RNA
Source: RNAcentral